Molecule: ribosomal RNA, 470 nt
Filed under: uncultured bacterium
Lineage: Bacteria
Description: bacterial SSU rRNA
Rfam family: Bacterial small subunit ribosomal RNA
Source: RNAcentral
GAUGAACGCUGGCGGCGUGCUUAACACAUGCAAGUCGAACGGAGUUAUUUGAAAGCUUGCUUUUGAAUAACUUAGUGGCGGACGGGUGAGUAACGCGUGGGUGACCUGCCUUAUACUGGGGGAUAACACUUAGAAAUAGGUGCUAAUACCGCAUAAGCGCACAGUUCUGCAUGGAACAGUGUGAAAAACUCCGGUGGUAUAAGAUGGACCCGCGUCUGAUUAGCUGGUUGGUGAGGUAACGGCUCACCAAGGCGACGAUCAGUAGCCGGCCUGAGAGGGUGAACGGCCACAUUGGGACUGAGACACGGCCCAAACUCCUACGGGAGGCAGCAGUGGGGAAUAUUGCACAAUGGGGGAAACCCUGAUGCAGCGACGCCGCGUGAGUGAAGAAGUAUUUCGGUAUGUAAAAGCUCUAUCAGCAGGGAAGAAAAUGACGGUACCUGACUAAGAAGCCCCGGCUAAACUACGUG